Molecule: long non-coding RNA, 906 nt
Filed under: Gallus gallus (chicken)
Lineage: Eukaryota; Metazoa; Chordata; Aves; Galliformes; Phasianidae
Description: lncRNA (ENSGALG00010026138.1)
Source: RNAcentral
ACAACAUCCACCGUAUAUCACAUUAGGGUGAAGAACACGAUGCCUUGCCCACUUAAAAAAUUCACCAUUGCAUUUUUGGGUAUGUUGGAGUUACACAACGAAAUGCAACUGAAAAGAAGUACUGGGCAGAGCCCAAGACGGCACAUCGAGCCAUGAACAAAUUGGUGUUCUCUCUUCUUUGCUGGUACGUAGCAUGAGCCAGGCUGCUGUGCUUGGAUGGAAGCAGCACUCAUCUCAUCUGUUACAUUGCACUAAAGGACAAGCAAAAAACCGAAGGAGAGGGAGGUUACUGGAAGUGUGGGACACAGAAUUACGGAACCUCAGGUGUUGGAAAGGACCUCUGGAGAUCAUCCAGUCUAACCCCCUGCUUCAGCAGGUUCCCUACAGCAGAUCACACAGCUAGGCAUCCAGGACAAAAUUAUCUAAAACAGUGUGUCCUUGAGGACAGAACUGCUGAGGGCUCUCUAUGGAAAUCUAUGAACAAAGUGAACACUGAUUUUGGAGGAAGAGAGGCAAAAAGCAAGAAAAGACCAUGGAUUAGAGAAGUAAAGAUUGAAAGGGCAAGGAGGAAAUGAAAGGCCUCAGCUCAAUUCUGUAGUGAAUCAACAACCUUUCUCAAAGAGGAAAAAAGAAAACUAGCAUGUAUGGCUAGAAAGUGGCUAGAUGGUGUCACAGAACUCAAGAAUGAGAAAGUUCUGAGAAUACAACCUCACACUGCACCUCCUGGUGAAGAAUGAGACCAUCUUGUUUGAAGAGAUGAAAUGAAUUCACUACUGAUAUAAGGAGGUGCAGGUUUCCUCACUUAAGACAGAGGAUUAGGAACCAUGUGAAGGAUUAUGCAGGUAAGUAAAGAAAAAUCACAUAGCUCAUUUUAACUUACUCCUCCUGUCACUGAAAAAAAACAGG